GUGCCUAACACAUGCAAGUCGAACGAGAAAGUGGAGCAAUCCAUGAGUAAAGUGGCGCACGGGUGAGUAACACGUGACUAACCUACCCUCGAGUGGGGAAUAACUUCGGGAAACCGAGGCUAACACCGCAUAACAUCUACGGAUCAAAUGCGUAAGCAGCUUGAGGAGGGGGUCGCGGCUGAUUAGCUAGUUGGCGGGGUAAUGGCCCACCAAGGCAAUGAUCAGUAGCCGGCCUGAGAGGGCGCACGGCCACACUGGAACUGAAACACGGUCCAG
RNAcentral lists this ribosomal RNA (276 nucleotides) under uncultured bacterium. RNAcentral describes it as "partial 16S ribosomal RNA". It matches the Rfam family "Bacterial small subunit ribosomal RNA", at positions 44 to 334 of the family's 1533-position model. The record is from RNAcentral.